UAAGACGGAGGGCGCUAGCGUUGUCCGGAAUCACUGGGCGUAAAGGGCGCGCAGGCGGCCGCGUCAGUCGGGCGUGAAAGCCCGGGGCUCAACCCCGGGACGGCGCCCGGGACGGCGCGGCUGGAGGCCGGGAGAGGGGGGUGGAAUAGCCAGUGUAGAGGUGAAAUUCGUAGAUAUUGGCUGGAACACCGGUGGCGGAAGCGGCCCCCUGGCCCGGCCCUGACGCUGAGGCGCGAAAGCGUGGGGAGCAAACAGGAUUAGAUACCCUGGUAGUCCACGCCCUAAACGGUGCGAGCUGGGCGUCGGGGGGCUCGCCCCCCGGUGCCGGAGCCAACGCGGUAAGCUCGCCGCCUGGGGAGUACGGCCGCAAGGCUA
This 375-nucleotide ribosomal RNA is filed under the name uncultured bacterium. RNAcentral describes it as "bacterial SSU rRNA". It matches the Rfam family "Bacterial small subunit ribosomal RNA", at positions 521 to 896 of the family's 1533-position model. The record is from RNAcentral.